UCUCUGCCUUCACACGACUCUCUAAUCCACAUUUAUCUCUCAAAUAUUUUCUUUGCCUUCUCAAAUCUCGCUCUCUCUCUCUCUAAUCUUGUUCGUCCACACUCAUCAUCAAUAUCUCUCAACUCAGUUUUUCACAACAAUAACAUAUCCUGUUUGUCUGAUUUCCUCAUGAUUUGUUCCCUCAAACUCUCGAUUUCUCUUUCAUCAAAAUCUUGUUGUUUCAUCGAUAACUUCCCUCUGAUUCUUCUCAACCGAUUGAAUCUAUCUCUUUUACACCAAUCUCAAUCGAUUGAGCAUUCUUCUUUGGUUUUUGGUUCAUGUUUCCAACCGUAA
Non-coding RNA from Vicia faba (fava bean), 333 nucleotides. The record is from the annotation of a GenBank genome assembly. Lineage: Eukaryota; Viridiplantae; Streptophyta; Magnoliopsida; Fabales; Fabaceae.